GACGAACGCUGGCGGCGUGCCUAAUACAUGCAAGUGGGACGCAAGGAAACACACUGUGCUUGCACACCGUGUUUUCUUGAGUCGCGAACGGGUGAGUAACGCGUAGGUAACCUGCCUAUUAGCGGGGGAUAACUAUUGGAAACGAUAGCUAAUACCGCAUAAUAUUAAUUAUUGCAUGAUAAUUGAUUGAAAGAUGCAAGCGCAUCACUAGUAGAUGGACCUGCGUUGUAUUAGCUAGUUGGUAAGGUAAGAGCUUACCAAGGCGACGAUACAUAGCUGACCUGAGAGGGUGAUCGGCCACACUGGGACUGAGACACGGCCCAGACUCCUACGGGAGGCAGCAGUAGGGAAUCUUCGGCAAUGGACGAAAGUCUGACCGAGCAACGCCGCGUGAGUGAAGAAGGUUUUCGGAUCGUAAAGCUCUGUUGUAAGUCAAGAACGUGUGUGAGAGUGGAAAGUUCACACAGUGACGGUAGCUUACCAGAAAGGGACGGCUAACUACGUG
This 505-nucleotide ribosomal RNA is filed under the name uncultured bacterium. Its description in RNAcentral is "partial 16S ribosomal RNA". It matches the Rfam family "Bacterial small subunit ribosomal RNA", at positions 28 to 507 of the family's 1533-position model. The record is from RNAcentral.